GUGAUAAGUGAAAAUGACAAGAGUGGACCCAAGAAGGAUGACAUUUCAGUUAGAAAACCCCGGAUCCUCGCGGCUGGAUGUGUGUGCUGCAGGGGUGACACAUCAAAUAUGGGUUGCCACAAAUCCACAAAGUCCACACGGAAACUACCAGGCCUCUGUGCGCAGCAAGUGAAUCCACACAGGUGUUGGGGCUACUUGCUUAUGUGGGAUUUUUAUUUAAUUCCCAUCUCCUGAGAGCUGUGCUCCUAUCAUCAUUCACAGCUUAAUCUUGACAUGGAAAGAGCACUUACAGACACCGAGGACCCCCCAGAUCCCUUUGCUGACUGCCUGCCCCUUAUUCAGCUUUGACCCUUCCUCCUCCUUGCCUUGCUCGUCUUUGACUAGGUCAUUCCACUUGCCGAUACUCUGCCCAGCACGCUAUUCCCUGCAUGGCUCUCCCCACAGUUCACCACCUUGACCAUCGUGCAAGCCCCUACCCCUCCCUGCACACCAGGUUACUCUGUCCCCUAACCUACAGUUUACUUCCUGCCCCAAUACUUUCCACCAUGUGAUGCGUUGUUUGUUUGUUUACUUAUUUGUUUUCCGACAGCUGGUUCCUGCUAAGUACAGUUGUGCAGCUUGUGCGCUGCUCAAGGGCUGAAGAAGGUAACAAAAUAAUGCAGCUGGCACUCUGUUUACUCAGCCAGGGACUCUAGUGAACAACAUCGUCAGCGAGGAAUGCCUACUCCUACUUGGUCUGUGCAAGUUGCAUGCUAGGAGAAGAUGCCUUUUUUUUCUAAUCCAUACAAGUUGCAACCCUCAUCUCCUUCACUAAACAUCACUCUGCAAGAGAGGAACUUAGCACCUAGAACAGCUCCUGGCUCAUAGGAGAUGUACAGUAGGCACUACUGAAGCAACACAGCAAAACACAUGCAUCUAUUCUCCAAGGAUACAUUCAGCUCCUAUUAUGUGCCAGGCACUGUGCAGCAUACCAAAGCAACAACAAAAGUAAUAAUUUAACAAGGUUCCUGGCCAGCUGGUGGGUGGGGGUGUGAGCCCUGCUCUGUGCUGUCAUUCAAGAAUUUGGCCGAUGGAGCUCGCCAAACAGGACACAGGUUUCCAAGGUAAUUUUGGACAUCAACAUCCAGAUGGUCUAAGGAGAAAGGAAAGAACAUAAAGAAUUUCACAGGGGAUGUUUUUCUGGGCCAACCUACACAGAGCUUCGGCUCACAUUCCUUUGGGUAGAGCUGUCACAUGGUCACCUCUAAAUUCAAAAGAGGCUGGGAAAGGCAGCUGAGUUUGUGCUCAGGGGAAAAAUAAAAAAACUUAUAUAUGAUUUGAGCAGCUAGUAAUCUCUUCCUCAAAACUCAAGAACGAAACAGAGCAGUAUUCUCACUUCACAGAGUGAACCUGAAGCCUGGGAAUGCUCAUUUUCUUAGUAGCC
RNAcentral lists this long non-coding RNA (1423 nucleotides) under Homo sapiens (human). RNAcentral's name for it is "HSALNT0183664". Lineage: Eukaryota; Metazoa; Chordata; Mammalia; Primates; Hominidae. The record is from RNAcentral.